Molecule: ribosomal RNA, 429 nt
Filed under: Acidobacteriota bacterium
Lineage: Bacteria; Pseudomonadati; Acidobacteriota
Description: Acidobacteria bacterium partial 16S ribosomal RNA
Rfam family: Bacterial small subunit ribosomal RNA
Source: RNAcentral
UGGGGAAUUUUGGACAAUGGGGGAAACCCUGAUCCAGCCAUCCCGCGUGUGCGAUGAAGGCCUUCGGGUUGUAAAGCACUUUUGGCAGGAAAGAAACGUCAUGGGUUAAUACCCCGUGAAACUGACGGUACCUGCAGAAUAAGCACCGGCUAACUACGUGCCAGCAGCCGCGGUAAUACGCAGGGUGCAAGCGUUAAUCGGAAUUACUGGGCGUAAAGCGUGCGCAGGCGGUUCGGAAAGAAAGAUGUGAAAUCCCAGAGCUCAACUUUGGAACUGCAUUUUUAACUACCGGGCUAGAGUGUGUCAGAGGGAGGUUGAAUUCCGCGUGUAGCAGUGAAAUGCGUAGAUAUGCGGAGGAACACCGAUGGCGAAGGCAGCCUCCUGGGAUAACACUGACGCUCAUGCACGAAAGCGUGGGGAGCAAACAGG